Choloepus didactylus (southern two-toed sloth) is the source of this 1076-nucleotide long non-coding RNA. RefSeq lists it as uncharacterized. The transcript has 2 exons. The record is from RefSeq and is a predicted model, not a curated record. NCBI's taxonomy places the organism in Eukaryota, Metazoa, Chordata, Mammalia, Pilosa, Megalonychidae.
UUGCUGAAGAUGAUUUUAUAUAGAUAAAACUUUGUGCUUUAGAGAAUGUCUGUAAUGUCCUGAAAACCUAUUGGGUUCCAAAGUAUUUUGUUAGAGUAAUUUCUUGUUGAUAAGAAUAAUUUUAUUUUGGGAAAUCAGUUUUAAUAUUAAUCAAUAUGAAAAAAGACUAAAACUCCACUGGGAGAGACACAUGGGCAAAAGACAAACAGGCAUGUCACAAAAGAAGAAAUAUGUAAUAGUAAUAAAAGCAUAAAAAAGAUAUUUGCCUUCAUGAGUAAUUAGGAAAAUGAACAUUAAGUGACAGGAAGAUUGCAGUGCAAACAGUAGGUUGGACAAAACAAGAAACCUGACAAUACCAAAUGCUUGUGAAAUGUGGGGACAAAAUAAUGAGAAGUAGCCAUUGUCAUUGACCCUAUAUUUUUGCUGUCUGCUCUGACCUUCAGGUCAUGGGAUGCUGACAAGGGAGGGGAAACCACAGUCACCCUCCACUGGUGAUUGUCACAGGCUGUCAGAGGGGAGACCAGCCUCAGGGGGCAGGGGCAGGUUUCUGUCUCAGUUCCCCAUGUGUCUGGAGCACUGUGGACCACUGAUGCUACUGUCCCAUGUUGAGCAGUAAUAGACAGCCUCAUCCUCAGGCUGGAGCCCCGUGAUGGUCAGGGAAGCUGUGCCACUCGCCUUGAAGCCAGAGAACCGAGCUGGGAUCCCCGAGGGCCGAGAAGUUCUGAGCAUCACAGUCUUGGGGGUGCCCCCAGGGAGCUGCUGGUACCAGCCAGCGCCAUAAGAUCCAAGCAGUUACUGUUGGAGCUGGAUGAUGCUGGCCUCCAGGUGGAGAAGGUCCAUGGCCAAACCCUCAUUUUGAUGAACAGCAGAGUGGUCUCCAGCAGGGAAUUGGUCAAACCCAAGCUAGCUGAACGUAACAGAAAUUUUGAGAUGGUGUCUCAGCAUAUCAGAAUUGCCAACGUAAGUAAUCUUUUCAUGUACAACUCUUUCCCUGUGUAUGUGUAUCUAAACAAUAUAUGAUGAUAGACUGUGUGCAUCAAAUUUUUAAAAAUUAAAAUGAUACUCAUGCUUUUCUU